AAGAGCUUUGCUAAUAUCUAUCUGUAGCAGAUAAGAACUUGAAAGUUAUAUUUACUUUGGUUUUAUUCUGAAGCUGCAUAGAAUUAAAAUUACAUCUAAAUGCUUAAGUGGAUCCCAACUAUGCCUUUAAUCUCACUCAUUUUCCUCUUGUGGAACAGAAUUUACAGGCUUUUAGUAUCCCACUACAGGCCUUAAGUUUGUUAUGGCAACAUGCACUGUCUAUUCUGGAACACACACAAUAAAGUGUUCUGUGAUGUACAUUGUGGUCACGGUACAGCAUGGCACGUGGCACACAGUGGAGCCUUUAGAAGAAGGGAUCUGCAAGACAGCUGUCUGCCAUUGCAGAAAACUAGAACCAGUUGAUAUGAGGAAUGAUAACAGACAUCAGCCCAGAUUCUGAACUUGAAGGGCAGAUGCUGCCAGGCCCUUCCAACUCUGACUACUUUCUGAAAAGCCAUUGCUGGACCAGGGGAACAUCCCAUCUUGCUACCCUAAACAAGAACUUCAGUCACGCUGUUAUGCAGGUCAAGAAGAGACAAGGCCAUGUAAACCUUCCUGGGCCUGGAAGAAACCACUGGGGCCUGACAAGCCUUAAAAACAGAGCUGCACUUACAUGUUUGGAUCAGGCACAUCGACCCUUAACAGCAUCAGCUGGUCCCCCCUGCACCACAAAAGGUGCAUAGCAAGUGCAUUGGGACCUAGAAAGGCAUUAUGACCAAAGACUAGUGUGACUACAGCAAUUACCAGUUCAGCAAAUAAGCUUCUCAUUGCAAGCAUCGCUGAGGCUAUACACGCGCCAAGAAGAACCCAGAAUCACUGUGUCAGCAGUUCUCAAAGACUAUUUUAAAUGCUAUCAAGUUUAAUAAAACUUUUACAGUGGAGUACA
Numida meleagris (helmeted guineafowl) is the source of this 886-nucleotide long non-coding RNA. Lineage: Eukaryota; Metazoa; Chordata; Aves; Galliformes; Numididae. The record is from Ensembl.